CGAGAGAUCAUUAUGAUGAGGGUUGGUCCUCCAGCGUAUAAAAUCGGUUGGGACUAAGACGGGGCCAAGCCGGGUGUCAGCCGCCGCGGUAAUCCCCAGCCCCUGGAGUGGUGGGGAUAUUUAUGAGUCUAAAGGGUCCGUAGCCGGCUGUCUCGUUUCUCGGGAAAUUCAAGGGUCUUACACGUUGUAGUCCGGGGGAUACCACACAGCUAGAGGGUGGGAGAGGUAAGAGGUAUUUAGGGGGUAGGAGCGAAAUCCUUUGAUCCCAGGAGGACCACCAGUGGCGAAGGCUUCUCACCAGAACACGUCUGACGGUCAGGGACGAAAGCUGGGGCCGCGAACCGGAUUAGAUACCCGGGUAGUCCCAGCCGUAAACGAUGCUAGCUAGGUGUGGCUACAGUACGAGCCGCCCCAGUGCCGCAGGGAAGCCGUUAAGCGAGCCACCUGGGGAGUACGGCCGCAAGGCUGAAACUUAAAGGAAUUGCGGGGGAGC
This 493-nucleotide ribosomal RNA is filed under the name uncultured archaeon. Its description in RNAcentral is "partial 16S rRNA". It matches the Rfam family "Archaeal small subunit ribosomal RNA", at positions 382 to 877 of the family's 1478-position model. The record is from RNAcentral.